ACCUGCGGAGGGAUCAUUGCUGGAACGCGCUUCGGCGCACCCAGAAACCCUUUGUGAACUUAUACCUAUUGUUGCCUCGGCGUCAGGCCGGCCUCUUCACUGAGGCCCCCCGGAGACGGGGAGCAGCCCGCCGGCGGCCAACUAAACUCUUGUUUCUAUAGUGAAUCUCUGAGUAAAAAACAUAAAUGAAUCAAAACUUUCAACAACGGAUCUCUUGGUUCUGGCAUCGAUGAAGAACGCAGCGAAAUGCGAUAAGUAAUGUGAAUUGCAGAAUUCAGUGAAUCAUCGAAUCUUUGAACGCACAUUGCGCCCCCUGGUAUUCCGGGGGGCAUGCCUGUUCGAGCGUCAUUUCAACCCUCAAGCCUGGCUUGGUGAUGGGGCACUGCUUCGAAAGGAGCAGGCCCUGAAAUUCAGUGGCGAGCUCGCCAGGACCCCGAGCGUAGUAGUUAUAUCUCGCUUUGGAAGGCCCUGGCGGUGCCCUGCCGUUAAACCCCCAACUUCUGAAAAUUUGACCUCGGAUCAGGUAGGAAUACCCGCUGAACUUAAGCAUAUCAAUAA
Molecule: ribosomal RNA, 558 nt
Filed under: Diaporthe longicolla
Lineage: Eukaryota; Fungi; Ascomycota; Sordariomycetes; Diaporthales; Diaporthaceae
Description: eukaryotic LSU rRNA
Rfam family: 5.8S ribosomal RNA (bases 195-348)
Source: RNAcentral